RNAcentral lists this long non-coding RNA (208 nucleotides) under Neodiprion lecontei (redheaded pine sawfly). Its description in RNAcentral is "uncharacterized LOC124293901". The record is from RNAcentral. Lineage: Eukaryota; Metazoa; Arthropoda; Insecta; Hymenoptera; Diprionidae.
UAUUAAUUAUUUAUUUUUGUAUUAAAUAAUUUAUAAAAAAAAAAAAAAAAAGUAACUCUAACGGAACUUGAACAGCCGUUCGGUCUCUCAGUAAGCAAGAGCGUUACCGCUACGCCACGGAACUAUUGCUGCAACCGGUAAAAAGGUUCCUUCUACUUAAGUUACAUACAGAACUUUGAGAUCGCAAGAGGACACGUCUGAACACCAG